This 2541-nucleotide long non-coding RNA is filed under the name Vitis vinifera (wine grape). RNAcentral's name for it is "long non-coding RNA (VVIN_LNC004631)". The record is from RNAcentral. Lineage: Eukaryota; Viridiplantae; Streptophyta; Magnoliopsida; Vitales; Vitaceae.
AGAAAAUAGUUUCAGUACGAGUUUUCUUUCACCAGGAGCAAUGUGCUUUUAUUUCGAGGGUUGAUGCGCGACUCAUAUAAUUUAUGAUCAAAUGAUUAGGGGGAAUUUGUCUGAGGUUUUUCUCUCAGUUUUUCAUUUUUCAAGGAGAUAUCGAUUUCUCUCCAUUCAUUUUUCUGUCAACUUAGUUUGUGGUGUUCAUAGUUUAGAUCUUUCUGGCCUUUGGGGCUUGCUAUGUCGAUUUUGUUGCUUUUCUGUUGUGUGGGAUUCAACUAAGAAUUUCACAACCUGAUUGUUGGAGUUAUAUAUUUUCCCUUGAAAUAUGUCUCUGACUUGAAUUCGGUUUCUGCUUUAUUAGAAUUUCUUUGAGCUAGGGAGAGAUUUAAAUUAUGGGACUGGAAGGUAAAGGUCAGAACAUAUGCCCUUGAGGGCUGAUCAAGUGACAAGGGUUAGGGUGGAGGGGUGGGAGGUUCCAAGUUCAAGCCCCAACAAGGACCAAAAAUAGAUAUCUUACCUGUUGAAAAAGGAUCUAGAAUGCAUGAUACAAUUGCAAAAGAGGUUUUUUUGGUUGAAAGACCAUAAAAUAGAAUAUUAUCCAUCCCUACUAUUGGUCUUUGUUAUGACUUUCACUUAUCAAUCCCAAUUUAAAUGCAAACAUUUUUGGAAGCCUGAUACUUAAGCAUAAUUCUUUUUGCUAAUGGUAUAAGGUUGGUCUCUGCUUAGGGAAUGGCUGGAUCAUUAAUGGUCCUUCUAAAGAAUAAAAUAGCAAAUUGAGAUUGUUAUGCUGUGGGUUAUUCCUUCCUUGGACAAAAACUUAUGGAUAAACAAGCUUUAAAUAGUUUGGAUAGAUAGGAUAAGGUGGUGCCUUUUGAGUUCCAUUUCAUUUUUUCUAGGUUGUUUUGGAGCUUGACUUCUGUUGAAGGUGGCCUUUGUUGCAUAAUAAAUGGCCAGUUUGAAGAAGAGUGAGCUCUUUCCUAUGAGUAAGCGCUAUAUGUGGCUUUGUUGCUUGGUUUUAAGGUGGUCGAGUUACUUUAUUUUUGGGCCUUCCCUUGGGUGACCAUUUCAAGUCUACUUUCGUGUGAGAUGGAGUGGAGGAAAGGUUUCAUAAAAGGUUGGUCUCUUAGGAAAAAAACCUUGUCUAACUGGUGAAAUCAAUUCUUAUAUAAGAGUACUUCUUCUAAUUUGCCCAUUUAUUGUAUGCCUCUAUUUGCGAUUCUUAGAAUGGUCCACCUAAUGCUCAAGAGGAUUCUUCCAAGAGAGGGAUUGUUUUAUGGCAAAACGCGUGCAUCGCGUUAAUGUGGGUGGUGUGGUGGGAAAGAAAUACAAGGAUUUUCGAGGACAAAGCAAGGAAUUCUGAGUAUCUUUGGGAUUCUAUUUGUUUUCUUACCUCUUUUUGGGCUUUUUGUUCUAAGGUUUUUAAGGGGAUUCCUCUUAACAUGUUACAACUUGAUUGGUUAGCGGCGUGUAACUAGAGUGUCUACUUUUCUCUUCUUGUACUUUCUUAUAUUUGAUUACUUGUAGUCUUGUUUUUCUUUGAUGGGAGGAUUCCUCAUCCUUCUAAUUGAUUGUACCUUCUUUUUAUCAAUAUAUUCCUUUGUCGUUUCCUAUCAAAAAAAAGAAAAAGAAAAAAAGAAUGGUCCACCUAAUGGUCAAGAGGAUUCAAAGCCACUUUAGUUCUUAAGACCGCGGCUAGAGAGGAAAUUACAUUUUGCCAAAGUGGUUGGUUGUCUACUAAGAGAAAGUUUAUGGGUGAUUUAGGUAUUAGAAACCUAUCAAUGCUGAACAAAGUACUUCUUACUAAAAGGUUAUAGAAAUUCCAGUGGAGCAAGGUUUUUUUUCAAAUGCUAGGGAGAGGAGGAAGGUUUUUGGAGUAGGUUUUUGGAAAAUGACUAGAAGGGGGUUCAAAUACUCUUCAUUGUAGAAUAACUUUAUUGAUAGAAGAUGGUCAUAUGUCAAAAUUCUGGCUUUAUGUUUGGUGUGAGGAGUUUUCAUGGAGAGUUCUCUUCUUUCUCUUUCUCUCUCGUGCGUGCUUUCUCUUUCUUGUUCUUUACAUUGAACAUUACUUUGUAUAAAGAUGCUUAAAUUGUGGAUAUUUGGGUUAGGAGGGGUUGGUAGGGUCUUCUAAGCCCUUUCUUCUAGAUGAGCUUCCAUGCUUGGGAGUUGGAGAAGGUGUGAGUUUCUUGGUGUUUAUUCGGAGCGGUUGUUAGGAUAGUUUGGUUUGGCAGUGUGACAAGAGUGGGAAGUUUUUUUUUUUGGUCAAUUCCAUCUGUGUGACCUAUAGGUGGCUUCUAGUGGUUUGUUCCACAAAAAGAAGUGUGAAAGUUCUCUCAAAAGUGGGCUUCUAUGUAAGAAGAUUUUGGCUAAUUAACUAACUUACAAGAAAGGGCUGACUUUGGUUAACGAGUGUUGCCGCUGCAUGCAUUGUGAGGGAUGAUUGACCACAUCUUGAUCCAUUUUGGGAAAGCUUGCUUCUUGUGGCAACCUUUUUUCCCUCCCUCAUUGGUAUUUCUUGGGUGCUUCCUUAGUCAAUAAAGUAGUUGUUGA